RNAcentral lists this transfer RNA (68 nucleotides) under Cymbium olla (pot-bellied volute). RNAcentral describes it as "tRNA-Cys". The record is from RNAcentral. Lineage: Eukaryota; Metazoa; Mollusca; Gastropoda; Neogastropoda; Volutidae.
UGCACUCCCACCAUAGUUUAUAAAAAACACUAAUUUGCAAAAUUGGUAAAGGAAAGUUCCUGGUGCGU